UUCUGCUGUGUGAGGCUAUGUACAA
This 25-nucleotide non-coding RNA is filed under the name Mus musculus (house mouse). The record is from RNAcentral. Lineage: Eukaryota; Metazoa; Chordata; Mammalia; Rodentia; Muridae.